RNAcentral lists this ribosomal RNA (380 nucleotides) under uncultured bacterium. RNAcentral's name for it is "bacterial SSU rRNA". It matches the Rfam family "Bacterial small subunit ribosomal RNA", at positions 29 to 433 of the family's 1533-position model. The record is from RNAcentral.
AACGAACGCUGGCGGCAGGCCUAACACAUGCAAGUCGAACGCCCGUAGCAAUACGGGAGUGGCAGACGGGUGAGUAACGCGUGGGAACGUGCCCUUCGGUUCGGAAUAACUCAGGGAAACUUGAGCUAAUACCGGAUACGUCCGUAAGGAGAAGAUUUAUCGCCGAAGGAUCGGCCCGCGUCGGAUUAGCUAGUUGGUGAGGUAACGGCCCACCAAGGCGACGAUCCGUAGCUGGUCUGAGAGGANGAUCAGCCACACUGGGACUGAGACACGGCCCAGACUCCUACGGGAGGCAGCAGUGGGGGAAUAUUGGACAAUGGGCGAAAGCCUGAUCCAGCCAUGCCGCGUGAGUGAAGAAGGCCUUAGGGUUUGUAAAGCUC